RNA transcript from Raphanus sativus (radish), 1526 nucleotides. RefSeq lists it as uncharacterized. The record is from RefSeq and is a predicted model, not a curated record. The transcript is spliced from 4 exons. Lineage: Eukaryota; Viridiplantae; Streptophyta; Magnoliopsida; Brassicales; Brassicaceae.
UCCAAUUCCAACUUUUGAUUAUUUUAUUAGUUUUUUUCUUUUUCGUUUAAUAAUAAAAAAAGAACUAAUCGGAGAUCGCCACGUAACAUAGAGCCCAUGAUACAGUAACGAAACACAACCAAAACGAAUUCUACGUUAGGAUUUACGAGGUCAGUAACAACACUAUUACCAAAUCUAUAUAUAUAAAGUAGACUAUUAUGGCAUCUCCUUGCGCCACAACAGCUAUAGAGAUAGGGGCUUUUUCCUACACGUGUCAUCACGUUAAUUGAUAUGUGUAUUUCACGCGUUCCGUUUUUACACCUGAUUUUUGAAACAUAGAUCUUGUGUCUUUUGAAAACUAAGAUUACAGCUUUGGAUUUCUUUUAUAUUUAAAAACUGAGCCCACUUAAGCCCAAACUAUUAACAGCCUAUGAUAUCCACGUUCUUCACCUUCUUCCUUUUGCGACUGCGUCUUCACCACCGACGAGAUGAUUCAGAAACCAAAUACACCCUCUCCUACCCGUAACGUUUCACAAGUCCUUUAAUCCGCCAUUUAUUUUUAUUUUUCCCUUGAUUAAUCAAAUCCUUCCUCAUUAAGAUUUCCGAGCACCUGUUCGUUUACCUUGAAACGGUGUAGAUCUCCAACUAUAAAUAUCUCACCUUCAUACCAUGCAAACUCCAACUCAAACCAAAUCCGAAAAUUUUCAACUUGCAAUCUUCCAAUUUCAAUGUCUAAUUCAUAUGUUAUUCUUGCUGACUUGAGAGCCGGGAGAUGCUCCAACGCGGCGGAGGUCCGUCUUUUGAUAUUCUGGGAGGCGAAGAACAUCAACAAAAGGGGACAACUGAUGAGCCUUGAGAUGUUAUUGAUCGAUGAACAAUCUACUUUGGUCCAAGGGUCUGUUCCUGCGUCUCUACGGGUAUCGGGUCGUUUUUUCUGUGUCAGACAUCACUGGCAUAGCUGGUUUUGUUGGCUUCGAUAAAGAGAUUGCUAAGGUGACUCAUGUUUUGGCAUCAGAAGCUGCACAAAUUGUGGUGGACACUGACCUCCCUUGAUCACUCUCUGAUGUGGUAGGGAACACCUACACUUUUCAGCUCAAGCUAAAAGACUUCAAUUUCACUGCAAACCACCAAACCUUUACCAUUUCCCGCAUCUUUCCUGCACGAGAACUUUGCACCCAUCCCAACCUUCGCCGAAGGUGCAGCGGACCCUGAAGCAGCGGUACAUCAGACUGUUGUUCCAGGAUCUGAUUCUAUAGAUGCAAGGUCAAGCAAUGUCGCAGAGCAAGCAACCACCUCUGAUGGUCGUCUUGCGGGGCUUCAAGCAGCCGCUGAAGGACUUGAUCAGGAGAGUGCACCGAAGAAAGCAUGUGUGGAAUGAGUCCUCUUUAUAACCCAAACAACCACGUUAUCUCUACCAGUUUGUUGUUCCGUUUUGAGCUGCGCUUCUUAGUUUAAGUAUUGUUCAGUAUUUCUGCUUUUUUUCUUUUUAAACUCAGACAAGUGGUUGUUCGUUUUUUAAGUUUAAUGAACUCUUCUCGCAUAAACCA